This 513-nucleotide ribosomal RNA is filed under the name uncultured bacterium. Its description in RNAcentral is "partial 16S ribosomal RNA". It matches the Rfam family "Bacterial small subunit ribosomal RNA", at positions 29 to 523 of the family's 1533-position model. The record is from RNAcentral.
UACGAACGCUGGCGGCAUGCCUAAUACAUGCAAGUCGAGCGAACAGAUGAAGUGCUUGCACUUCUGACGUUAGCGGCGAACGGGUGAGUAACACGUAAGGAAUCUACCUAUAAGCGGGGGAUAACAUUCGGAAACGGGUGCUAAUACCGCAUAAUAUCUUCUUCCGCAUGGAAGAAGAUUGAAAGACGGCUCUGCUGUCACUUAUAGAUGACCUUGCGGUGCAUUAGUUAGUUGGUGGGGUAACGGCCUACCAAGACGAUGAUGCAUAGCCGAGCUGGGAGGGUGAUCGGCCACAAUGGGACUGAGACACGGCCCAAACUCCUACGGGAGGCAGCAGUAGGGAAUCUUCCGCAAUGGGCGAAAGCCUGACGGAGCAAUGCCGCGUGAGUGAAGAAGGCCUUCGGGUCGUAAAACUCUGUUAUAAGAGAAGAACAAAUUGUAGAGUAACUGCUACAGUCUUGACGGUAUCUUAUCAGAAAGCCACGGCUAACUACGUGCCAGCCGCCGCCGUAA